Saccostrea echinata is the source of this 268-nucleotide long non-coding RNA. RefSeq lists it as uncharacterized. The transcript has 2 exons. The record is from RefSeq and is a predicted model, not a curated record. NCBI's taxonomy places the organism in Eukaryota, Metazoa, Mollusca, Bivalvia, Ostreida, Ostreidae.
UUGCAUCAUUGAUAGAUUUCUAUGCUGGUUGUUUGUGUUAGACCUUGUCAAAUGCCCAUCAUAUUAAACAAUAUCAAAUUAGUCUUAACACCUUAAUCUAUACCAAAUUAAUUUUGAAAAUAAAAGGCAGGCCAUCAAAUCAAAUAUGCUAUAAACUGACCAGCAGUUCUUCUGUCUAAUCCCCAAAGGAUACAGAUAAGACUGCUUGAUCAGAGAUGCUCUAAAGAAAUGAUUGAGACAGCUAGCCUUCCUACAUUGAACUCAUUAA